Long non-coding RNA from Felis catus (domestic cat), 1764 nucleotides. RefSeq lists it as uncharacterized. The record is from RefSeq and is a predicted model, not a curated record. The transcript has 4 exons. Lineage: Eukaryota; Metazoa; Chordata; Mammalia; Carnivora; Felidae.
CCUGCGCGGAGAUCGGGGUGUUGGAGUAGCGGCAGACAGCAGACGGCACUGGUGGUUGGGGCUGGUUGCUUUGUUUCUGGGCCUUUUUGCCCUACGCCUGGGGGGCCAGCUCGGUGUCCCUCAGCGCCUUGCCUUCACCUCAGCUGUCUUCUUUUCGGGCGGCUCGAAGAGCAGGCUAAACCUCACAUCAAGCUGAAUUCUGAAGAUAUGUUGGCACCUGUGCACAAGCUCCCUAUACUGGACGCAUGAAACAAACCAGAACUAUCUAAGUCAGGGGAUUCCAAUCAACUGGUCAAGUUUAAGAGAUGGACCUGACAGGGUACUAGAUAUAUGAGUAGCUCCACGAACACCUGCUGAGAAAAUAAGUGAAUGGCUAGACAAGUGAGGUCGUUACCUAACCCGUCAUAAAUUAUACUGGAAUCCCCACUUUCCAGGAGAAGAAAAAAUGCCCAAGACUGAUGUUUCUGAGGAUUAAACACCUAGAUAGGGUGACAGUACCCUGACAUACUCAAGUUCUAGAAGCAAGCUGCUCCCUAUUACCCUCGCCCUCCUCAAGAAGCUGAUCCAUCCGUACUUCAAAUGAAGAAGUAACUACCAAGUAACUGUCAGGGGCCGUGGAGGAUGCUAGGAAUACAGACAUCUACUAUCUUCAGGGAUUGGAAUUCACAGUCUACAGGAGCAUAAACAUACAAGUCCCAAACUCUGACUUUGCUCCCCAAAUCUGCUUCAGCCUCAGUCUUCCUCACCUCAACGGAGAUACCCCAUCCUCCUCCCAGCUGCUCAAGGCUGAAAUAGGAAAAUCAUCCUUAUUCCUCUCCUGCCCUAUUCCCUGGUUCCUGUUCAUUCUGCCUCUGAAAAGUAUCUGAAAUCAUCUUGCUUCUGUCACCACUGCCACCCUCCUCGCCCAAACUGGGACCACUGCAACAGCCUCCGACUGGUCCCGUCUUCUGCUUUUCAUCCCCUGCAAUCCACACAGCAGUGACACGCCUUGAAGAAGAAUCAAUGAAUUUAGUCAUUUCUGAGAAACCAAGGAGGACUGUUGGAGGAGGCUGGCAUCCCUGGGCAGGUAACCCAGCCUCGACUGCUUUGGCAACAGGUCAAGGCUAAUAUUUGCCCAAGAAGGGCCUUUUCAUGGGAUGAUCUUUCCAACCCGUUGACUACAACAAGCUGGCCCUCAGUCUUUUUUCCAUAGAGAGGGGAUUUUUCCCCCAGAACAAGCAGGCCUUUUGUACCAGAAGGAAAAGAUUGCCACUCACCACUUGCUACUUUAUGGCCUUCAAGCCCAAACCCAGGUGCUAGCUGUGAGACCCAACUCUGCCACAGACCAGCAUCUUUAUGGAAAAGCUCUCACCCACAAGCAUAAGGGGUUUUCCUGGGAGAAAGAAAGCCAUGUUCUUUUGAGAAACCAAUGAAUACUAAGUAGAUGCCACCAAAGCCAAGGAUAGCUUGUGAAGGCCCAGUGUCUUGGGACAGGAAAGACAAGGGGCCACCAGCCAGGUCUGGUUGAGAUGAGGCCAAACUUAGCUCCAGACCAAGACUUCAUCUCCCAUUUCCUGACAAACUGGUGAUUGCUGAGUUCCACAUUAAUUCUGAUAUAAAGACUCCUUGAAAUUUGCAAUUGUAAUUAUUGAUUCACUUGUUUGUCUCAUCACCACCCCCAAACUAUUUUUAUUGCUUGAUAGUAGGGAAGGAAUAUCUUUAUCUUCAUAUCAUCAGUGAUUAAUUAAUACACAUCAAAUAAAGAGAUGGGGAAUAGAUUACAUA